Molecule: non-coding RNA, 7913 nt
Organism: Equus caballus (horse)
Lineage: Eukaryota; Metazoa; Chordata; Mammalia; Perissodactyla; Equidae
Source: RefSeq, a predicted model, not a curated record
GGGAGCGGGGGGAGGAGGAGGAGGAGAGAGCAGAGUAUACCGCAGACAUCAUUUCUACUACAGUGGCGGAGCCGUACAGGACCUGUUUCACUGCAGGGGGAUCCAAAACAAGCCCCGUGGAGCAGCCGCCAGAGCUACAGCAGCCGCAAGACACUGUUUCUCUCCCUCUGCCCCCCCUUCCCCACGCAACCCCAGAUCCAUUUACACUUUACAGAGCAUCGUGCAGCAAGUCACCAGGGUGGUCCCUUCAAGCUGCAGAUUUGUGUGUCAUCCUUGUACCACAGUCUCCUCCUCUACGGCCACUACAGGGAAGUCCAUCACAUAUCAGGUCACAGAGAGUGCUGGUGGACAUCUCCUCUUGCCCCAAGAUCUUCGUUGGAAGUCCACGGGACUUGGUGUCUUUGCCGUUCAAAGUGUAUAUGAACUCUCCAGGAGGCAUAAUGCGUCACCAUUUUAUUCUGGGCCACCCUAAAGGAUGACACCCAGCUUCAGAGACCUCCUCUUGGACUUCACCCCUGAGAACCAGUGGUUUAGCUCUCCCGUUGUCUGAAAUCUGUUUCCGACUGAUUUUCAGCUGGCUCAGGCUUAGUCAUUAAAUGGCCAGGACAAUGUUGAAUAUUCUACUUGAUCAGCUUGCAGCUGUACACCUUUUGUCACUUUCAGAGCAGCAACUCCCUCUUCAGCUCUUGUCAGUCUUUACAUAGAUAUGCUAGAAAACAGGCACCAAUCCAUUCUUUCCAUCUUGGCGUUUGCCCACAGGCAUAGUCCUGGGAUGACCUGGAGUAAAGGCAGCAGAGGAUAAAUUCAUCUUGCACAGACUUGUUCCUGCUCGUUCUGGCCUGUCUCUCCCCACAGAUCUAGCUUUUAAAUACUCAAGUGAUUGGUUUUGUGUAGGAAUGUGUGGAUUGUUGGGUUGGAAUAAUUUUCUCUCUGGAUUGCUAGUGUUUACAUAAGCAGAUAUAAAAAAAGGUUCUAUCACGGAUUUACAUAGCAGGGCUUAUUUCAAAAAGUUACAGGUGCUUACCAAUGGCACAGAAUAAAAAUGUAAUUUUUUUUAUUACAAGUUGUAACAAAACCAAAAGGUGUGUAUUGAUUUGUGUCAGGAAAGGGUCAAAACUGAAAAUUUGCAACAAAGUCAAACCAGAACAGAGCAAGAGCAAACAGAAGCUGACAAAUAUAUGCCCCUUGUUGGGAGUUCAGCCCAUGGAAUGUUAUGUAGGACAAAAGGAAUGGAAGAGAUAUUUCAGUAACAUUUUGUUCUCUGUCAAAAACCUUCUGAAGUAUAAAUCUGCUGUGUAUUGGAGAAAGGAUACAGCAAUUGAUUCAAGUUGAAUAGCUUUCAUUUAUCUAGAAAUUCCCACAGAAAGCCGUUCUUGUUCUGACAACCAUAUUUUUGCUUUCCUUGACUUAAAGAAAAUUGAAUUCAUGUUUACAUAUCUUAUAGGAUUGUUUUAUAGACAAAGACACAGGUCAAAUCCCAUCCCAGCAUGGUGGCUAUUGUUAUAGCAAACAGAAACAUUUCUAAAUGAAAUAAAAACAUUUCUAAGCCACGGCCUGUGGCCCGUAGUAAUAAGACUAGGUUGAUAUUAUGAAACCAUUUGCAACUAUAAAUAAUUCAGUCAUAGAUGUGCUUUUUGUUUAAUUGGGUUUUUUUUCAAAUUCUAGUCUCUUGCCGACACACGUACUCGUACAUGUACUUUACCUGUUUGCGUAGUAGAGAAGGAGGAAUAUGAAUAUGUAUAAAUAGGAGUCAGCUUUAUUUUGGACUUUCUGGAACAGAUCACCUUUUUUCUUCUCCUCAUGGUGGCCCCCUGAAUUGCUUACACUUAUUGAAAUCUCAUAAUUGCCCACAAAUAUGGACGUGUUGUUUUAAGGGUCUUGCCAUGUCAGCCAAUCCAGUCAAAAGCUAGUAGCCAAUGUCAGUGGUUUAAGAAGCUGAACUUCAGAAGUAGGACCCCCACGCCAAGGGUAUUCUGUUUUUAUUCCCCGUUUCUGCACUUCUCAAGGAGAAGUUAGGUGCUGCUUGUUUUGUUUUUUGCAAUUCCCAGACUAUUCUGGCAUUGAUCCUGGAAUCAUUGCAAGUGUAAUUUUUAGCAAAUAAUGAUUACUCCUGAAACAUUUUGGCUCUCUGUGGCCUAUGGUUCAGUAGAAUCUGAGGUUUUCCAGGUCCAUCAAGGACUUAAAUACAGAACGUCUUCAAGUUUAGAGGUGUGGCUCAGAAGAAAACUUCUCUAGGAAUAAACGUCUGUUAGGUUUUCGCCUUCCCCCUCCUUCAAGGUUCUUAACUGGGUGCCUUAUAUUUUAUUUCCUUUCUGUUUUUCUGCUGAUUCACUGCUUGGGUUUAUUGUUUUCUAUUUGGGAACAGCUCUGAAAAAAAUACACAGCUCUUAAACAUAUAAAACAGUUCCAACCUGCUUAUUCUUACCUUGACCAUCUUUUCUGUCUUCUUGCCAGACCCCUGUUUCUCUUUCUGCUUCUCUUCUGGGAUUUUAUCUGGCUCAGCAGUUCUAGUGUGUGAUUCUGAAUUCUAUGGUUUGAGUUUCCUGACCAACUUCUCCUUGCAUUUGAGUCCACUUCCUGUGCUUAAAGCUUUGGCAUUCCAUUCACCGAUCCCAGUCAAAACUGAAACUUCUAGUGCUAAUGAGAUUAGUCCUUACAACACUAUUAAUUUCUUCCUCUCCAUUUCUUACUCCAUUGCUGCUCCUCAAAGACAAAAAUGCAUUUGUGAUCGAGAACUUCAUUUUGUUGCCACUUCCUAAAGACCUCCUGCAUUUUUCUGUUUUCCUCAUACACUCUACAGCUUCAAAUGGCAGUCGCCAUCAACAGCUCCUUGACAAACUCAUUGUCCCUACACAUGGUUUACAAUAUUACACUAGCUGUUUAAGAAUAAUUAAGCUUCUCUCAGUGUUCUUUGCUGUGGGUCAGGAACUUUACUUGCUUCGCCGUCCAACACAGAAGUUAAUCACAAACGGGUCCUCUGAACCAAAUAAUUAAAAAUAGAGCAAAGUUUCUGAACCAGGCGGUUGGCAGAAAAGUCUGUACUUCCAUCUGUGCACGGUUAGGAAAAUAUUUCAGGAUAUUUAAAUAGCAUCAGCUUUGCUCUCUUUUGUGAGAGUGUAUCAAUGUGACUGUGUGUAUUUCAUCGCUCUGAACGUUUGUUUGUCUUUUAGCUAAUCUUAUAUUUUAAAAAAAGUUACUGGCAAGGAAACAGGAAGGCAGGUCCAGGUGUUUUGUGCAUUCAUUCUGCAUUUGCCAGUUUCUUUGAAGGAGGAAUGGUCUUGCUUUUCUCUCUGAUGAACAUUUUUCUCUUAGAGUGUGCCUCAGAAAAAAUUAAAGCGCAUUACAUUUUGACUUUGAAAUCUUUAUGUCUUUUGCUUCUCUACCUACAAAUAACCUUUGCUGAUAGCUUUUAAGAGCUGUUCGUAGGCACGUAAAAUGUGGAUGAAUCUAUUUCAGUUCGGAAGGUGGCACUUGAGGAGUUUCUGCUCCUUGGAAGCGGGUUGAUGCCUGGAAUAUACAUCAGAUCAGACUCAUAAACACUUUGUGACGUAGGUACAGACAUGUGAGUGACUGAUUUUGAGAGAAACUUAAUCCUUCAACUUGGACUUUUCUUUGUUCUUACCAAAAAUCCAUAUCUCAUCAAAUAUGUUCAGUAUUGGCCAAUUCUACAACUGUAGUAUGACUUUAAAAAUAUAUUUUUUGUUGAUAAGGUUUUAGUUGCUAUAUAAUAUUAAGAUUAUUCCUCUCUGAUAUUUUUCUAUUGGAACUAUCUCUUUUUAUUUCUGGAAAACUCUUCUUUUUAGGUUGAUUUUCUUUCUCCCAGGAGAACCUUUGUGUUAAAUAACAGCUGAUGCUCAAUAAAUAUGCCAAAGGGAGAUUAGGAAUUAUUAAAAGAAAAAGAAAAAAAGGAAAUGUCUUAAUUUCAUUCCUUUGGCUCCAAAACAUAUGUGUUUCUCAAGAGUCGCCAGUUUCUUUAUGCUUCUAGAAACUUAAAGCCUAGACAUAGUCUUAAUCCAAUGAUAAUAGAAUGAAACACUGAAAUUCAGAGCUGUGGAUUGACCAUGCUUACAUUGAUUGAAAUUAAGGAAGGAGGAAUAUCUUCGAUACAUUUUAUUAUUAAGGUAGCAGUGAACCCUUGAGUUUAACUAUGAAAUAAACUAUAAUCAGUGAUAGUCUGAUGAUUUAGGCAGUUUGUCAUUCAUGAAAUUUACAAUUUAAUAUUUUGAUCAUUUAGGCAGUUGGUUAUUCAUGGUAUCUAAAGGACUGUACACAUCUUUUUGUACAACCUCCUCACUUUAUAUUCAACUCAAUUUUGCUCAUUUCUUGUAAACCUACUACGUGCAAGGCACUAUGCUAGGAGGGAACAAGAAGCUGACUAAGUUGUGGCCUGUGGCUUCAAGCAAAUUAAUCCUUGAUUUCCUUUUCAGUAUUGCUUGAGGGGACAGCUGUUAAAAAGGAAUAAGUGGAUUUUGCUAGUUGUUUUCUUUGUCAGCGUCAGAUAUUAGGAUUUAACAUAUUUCGUGAACUCUGAAUACACAUAAAAGUGAAUGGUAGAUGCCUUUGAACUUUAACGUUAAUGCUGGAUUGGUCUUCUCCUAUCUGAGACAGCUAACAUUGCUAACGUUAAGUAGACUCCUCUGAAAACGGAGCCUGGAUACCCAAGUUCUUCACCCUUUUCUUGUGUGACUGUUAAAUUUGUUUCUGUCAUUCGUUUGGGCGUCUUUUAGACAGCGAAAUAACGGAAUUUCGGUUAAAAACACUGCACUUGAUUGUUGAUAUCUUUGUUCAAGAAAUCAUUCAGUUAACAAAUUUAUUUACCAGAAGCAUGAUCAAAAACAUAAGAAACAGUGUACACACUUGAGAAAGGUCAUUGGCCAGAGAACCUAUUCUUUCAAUAAUAAUAAUAACUGGCUGGCAUAUUGAGGAUUUAGGAUGUGUCAGUCACUGUGCUAAUCACUUAAUCCUCCCAGUAAACCUAGAUAGGUAGUUAUUAUCUCCACUUCACAGAUAAGGUAACUGGGUUAGUAGCUUGCCCAAGGUCACAGAGCUAGUAAUUGAUGGAACUGGGAUUCAACUCAUACCACUUUAACUUCAGACCCUUCGCUCUUAACUAACUGUACUUUAUUGCCUACAACCCAUGUCACUGUGGGACUUGCAAAAUUAUUUUUAUAAAUAUUGAGUAUGUACAAAAGCAUAGUCACAAACUAAGGUAAAUGAUAAAGAAUAAGGAUUCAGUGAGCACUCAAGUAACUCUCCCUCCAAAUUUAAAAAUUAUCACAAAUUUGAUGUCUAUGUGGGGCCCUCCCCAUCCCAUCACUUUCUUCCCAUCUCAGAAGUAACCACUAAAGAAAAAUGAUGUUUUAAAAUAUUUUUAACAAAAGUGCACAAAUACGCAUCCCAGCCAGAUGAUUAUUUUGUUUUCCUUCCUUUUUCUCGUCUCUCUUCCCUGCUCUGUCAUCUCUUUUACUUCUUCCCCCUUUGUUCUCGUCAUCGUGGAGCAGAAAGAGGAACUGAGUCAGACUCCUAUAGAAAGGUUAGGGAGAGUGUUCUCUGCUGUGGUGUUCAGGCCAAAGUACCAUGCCUAGAGCUGGGGAUUCUUAGUGAGGUGAGAAUUUCUUUGGUGUAUUCAAAUGACGCAUCUCCUCCCAAGCAAAGCGUGCCGUGGAGGGAUUGUCAGAGACAGACCACCCUGGGGGGGUGAUUUAAUGUGACUGUGCUGACAGAUCUCUAAAAAGUUUGUCGGGUUAUAAUUCACAAAUAUUAGCUCUGCAGACAUGUGUUUCCUUAAUAGUGUGACUCUUAAAAUAGCGAUACAUUUUUGGUAACCAAUGCGAGGGCACUUCGUAACACAAUCAGAGACCAUUGAGUGGAACAUGUUAAGAUAAUAUAACCUUGUUGUCCCUCAAUGCUUCAGUGCAAUCUUUCAGCAAGUAGUAAUACCUGGUACAUUAUGUAAAAAUCAAAAUGGGUUCUGGCCGAGUGGGGAUAAUAUAAUUCUUUCAUCAGUUGGAAAAUAUAUUCUCAUAAUUAACUACAUUUAAAAAAAUAAGCAAAGAGUUUCUGUUUUUGGUUCGUAAAUGUGCUCUGCUGCAUGAAAAUUUUUUCAAGGACCAUACAAUUCUGUAGGGGGAGAUGGCAAUUUAAUGCAGUCUUAGCUAUUAAGGAUUUAGAAUCAUGUUACUUUUAAGUUACUCCCAUGUAAUUACAAAAAUAUGUAGUAAAUUUUAAAAGAUUAAAAAGAACCACGUCUGGCUAAACAUAAAAUUGCUUAUAAGCAUGUGUGUAUAUCUGUCUGUAGUCAUCGGCACAUACGCAUUUGCAUCUGUCUGUGUGUAUUGAUUAAUAGUCUUCUAGUGCUGUGUGCGUUUGUGUGCAUAAAUAUCAUACGCACUCUUUAUAGAACUAAUGUUCAGGGACUCUUUUAUGACCAACUAUAUGAUUUGGAGCUUUAUCAAAUAUAGUGAUAUUUCAGUGGUCAUGUUUUUGGCCUGUGAUAAUAAGCAGUAUAGUAAUGAGAUGGCAGUGUCUGUGUCUAUCUGUACCUUCUAUCUCUUAUCUUUUUGCUUAGAAAAAAAAUCUACAUUGAAAGAUACUGAUGUACCUAUUAAGCUUCAAAUAUGAAAAAAAAAGCUAAAUAUGACACUUUGCAGUUUUGUCCAUUGUCUCAAAAACAUGCUGGUAAAAAUAUGGAAACUAGAAAAAUCUUGGCAAAGCCUGGUAGCCUAAGAGCAUAGCUGAUUUAAAAGUUUCAUUUAAGUAUUCUAAGCACUGUUCUGUGACAGCUAUUACUAUAAUAAUUGGCAGCAGCUAAGAAAAUUUAUAGUUUAAUACUUUAGGGCAAAUAAUUGCUUAGGAUGCUUUAAAUAGCACAGGAAAUGUGUCGAGUGUUUACUUGACAUUUGUUAUAUUGAACACUAAUACUGAAACAGAUUCUUUGACCACAGAGAAUGCCAGUGUAGGUGGGGUGGGGGUAGACGGGAGAAAGAGGCAGACAAAAAACAGCCAAGACGAUUAGAUAAAAAUUAAAUGGCAAGUGAGUUUUUUCAUGAUGUAGAGAUGCCAGGAGAAAAUGCCCAUUUGUUCGAUCAAGUAGUCUUGGAGUGUGGUCGCAGAAAGCUAAGUAAAACCACUCCCUCAGAUUUGGUUUCUCCUGGUUUUAAGAAACUGAAUUAUGUGCUCUGGGCUGUCUUCACCAGGGGUCAGCCUCCCAGCCUUUGGCCGCUCUGGUUUAUUUUUUAAGGUCCUGAAAGCAAGAGGAAUGACCUCCCUUUUUUAUAAAAAAGAAAAAAAAACCCCUCUUGUUAUCUGUUUAAUCUGCAUGCUUGUGAAUGUUUUUUUAUGACAGCCCUGGCGCCCUCGUUUCUCAGUGCAGCUCAGUACUUGAUGUUUUUCUCCUUACAUCUUGCACUCCCAGAAUCUUCUCUUUCUUCCCAGGCACUCUUCAUGCGGGUCUUAUCUUCAAAUGGGGUGUACUGUGGGUCUUAAAUGCAGGGCAGUUCUUUUUGCACACACUGCUUCCUGUGUGCAUUGUGAUUCGGCUGCAUUUAAUGGGAAAAAAUAGGGAAUAUUGUAGGCUGCUAAACCGUGUCCCAUUCAUGUGUAUUCGAGUCAGUUAUAUGGUGUCUUAAAGGGAGUUUUAAAUGCAUAUGUUAAAAACUAAUUGGCAUAUGUGAUAGGUCCAAGGAUGUGAAGUUGUGCAAUGUUAAUGAAAUUUGUUAAAAGCGUCUUCCUUCUAUCUUGUCAACAUGAGCUGCUUUUAAAUACCCAAGGGACUUUGGAAAAACAACAAUCAGAAGUCAAAACUUUGCCAUGCAGUAUGGCUCAGCACCCGGAACGCUCAGCAGCCCAGAGGCUGUAUUUAUGGCUUUUCCACUGACUUGAGAUUUGACCUUGAAUAAAUCAUGUUUAACUUC